This 1057-nucleotide long non-coding RNA is filed under the name Medicago truncatula (barrel medic). RNAcentral describes it as "lncRNA gene1155". Lineage: Eukaryota; Viridiplantae; Streptophyta; Magnoliopsida; Fabales; Fabaceae. The record is from RNAcentral.
CUCUCCUCAAUUAGUUCACAUUCACAGAAACGAAACAUACAAAAUUGCAGGAAGAAAGUAACCAUAAGAUCUGGCAUAAAACAGCAGCAUAAAAAUUCAUCUUUCAUUUUGCUCCAAACAAUUCCAACAACCAUAUUCAAGAUCUAAGGUAAAUUCUCUAUUUUUAACAAAAACAAACAACAAUUUUUUCUUCAUCAUCAACAACAUUUUCCAAUCUCAAUUUCAACAACAACAACAACAAUCAUCAACAACAACAAUAACAUUUUCAACAAUCACAAACUCCCAAUCUCAAUUUCAACAAAAACAAUAAUUAUAUACUGUGUUUUCUACAACAGCAGCAACAACCUUAAACAUCCACAAAGGCACAAAGUUGUUAAAAGCAACAACGAUAAACCUCCACCAGAAGUUCACCGCGAAUCAUACAAUGGCAACGAAGUACACGCGCCGAACUUACGUAAGAUUUCACUGCUGAGAUUAUUAAUAGAAAGAUAAAGUUCCACGAGAGUCGAACAAAGCUCAGCUAAAUGCGUUGGGAUUUUUCCGGCGAAGUGAUUUGCCAGUGAUUUUGUUUCCUAUGACAGAUAAAAACUCUAUAUCAUGGUUGAGGAUCCAGGUGAACAAGCUGGAGAGGUUGAGAGAACCGAAACUCUAAUAAGUCUUCAUAUGGAUUAUCCUUUAAUUCUCCAGAUUUGGGUGAAACUAAGGUUGAUUUGGGGAUUUAUUAGUGAUUUAAAAAUUAAUUAAUUAAAAAUAAUGAAUUAGAAUUUUACUAUCAUGAUUUUCUGGGUUUUUAUUUUUUAUUUUAUUUUUAAAGAUGAUAAUUAAAGAUGAAGAGAAUAAUAGGGAAGAAUAUGAAGAAAUGAAAUGAAAUACUAUUGUUGUUUAAUUAGAAGGUGGGGACCACUGCUGCAGUCCACAAUGUCAUGCAACAAUUCACAACAAUUACCACGUCACAAAUCCUAACCAUCCAAUUAAAAAAUUAAUAAAUUCAUGGUUGUGGUUCAACUUUUUCAUGAAGGGAAAGAACUCCUCUUUCCCAUACUAAACCCCACCAGAG